RNAcentral lists this ribosomal RNA (440 nucleotides) under uncultured bacterium. Its description in RNAcentral is "partial 16S ribosomal RNA". It matches the Rfam family "Bacterial small subunit ribosomal RNA", at positions 338 to 795 of the family's 1533-position model. The record is from RNAcentral.
CCUACGGGUGGCAGCAGUGGGGAAUAUUGCACAAUGGGGGAAACCCUGAUGCAGCGACGCCGCGUGAGUGAAGAAGUAUUUCGGUAUGUAAAGCCCUAUCAGCAGGGAAGAAAAUGACGGUACCUGAUUAAGAAGCCCCGGCUAACUACGUCCCAGCAGCCGCGGUCAUACGUAGGGGGCAAGCGUUAUCCGGAUUUACUGGGUGUAAAGGGAGCGUAGACGGCAGGACAAGUCUGGAGUGAAAUGCCGGGGCUUAACCCCGGAACUGCUUUGGAAACUGUGGAGCUAGAGUGCAGGAGAGGUAAGUGGAAUUCGUGGUGUAGCGGUGAAAUGCGUAGAUAUUAGGAAGAACUCCAGUGGCGAAGGCGGCUUACUGGACUGUAACUGACGUUGAGGCUCGAAAGCGUGGGGAGCGAACAGGAUUAGAUACCCCAGUAGUC